AUUCCACUCAUCGUCGGAUUGUCAGUCGGUGGCUUUUCUUCAUCAUCGUUGUCAUCGCUCCUCAUAUGUGCCUGUGUGAAGUCAGGAAAUAGAUCAGGCCGCGUCAUUGGCGUCCAAAGCAGACUUGGAACUGCGAUGGUGUCCACAACAGUCGCGUCUUCCCAACAAGGUGGAUAUCAAGGCCAGGUACCACAACCCCAACAUACAACGCUUAUCCUCCUCCGGGGUACCCCUCCACCGUGUACCCCAACGUGUACCCCCUCCUCCACAAAACAAUGCACCACCACCUGUCACACAACCCUAAACUCUUUCAACAAUUGGUUGCCGUGCCAACAGGUACAGCGCGGAUCAUUUGAAUCAAUUAUGCUUUUACAAGUGAAUAAUUUAUCUCUGGUUUUCCAACGAAACAAUUGUUUGCUGUAAAUGCCAUGUGGAACCUUAUCAGCCUCUACCUAUUUCCGCUGCCUGGCUGUGCUUUCUGAGUUUGCCUUUGCCAUCUGACCUAGGAAACACCAAAUCUACCAAAGACCUAAUCAUGUUUCUCCUUAAAAUGCACAUCGCAAAACCAUUUACGUCUCUUGGAAUUACCUUCCAACACAACAAGGCAGAAAUGGUUCAUCGAAACUAUACAGAUAAAUUAUAGAUCUUAUACCAAACAAUGACUAUGUGAUCCCGACGGGACCAGGCACCAUUCGGCAGAAUAGCAGUCCUUAAGAGUUUGAUUUUACUUUCCCUAAACCAUCCUUUCACCAUGCAUCCUAAACCAAAAUGAAUAUAGUAGAUGAUCUACAAAGACGAUGUUUUGAGGUGUCUGUGAGAAGGAUAACGCCGAUAAAAGUAAACGUAAUACUGCAAUACAGACAUAUGGAAAUGAAGGACUUAAUUGUACCCCUCAUUUUGGAAACAAUAGUCUCAAAAGAUCUCUUGAGAUCUCUUCUUCUAAGAAGAACACAUGCAAUCGGUACAAAAAUAAAACCACUCGUAGAUAUUAACAUUCCAACAGAAACUUUGUUUCCAACCGAGAUGGGAAAUAACUAUCUGCGCAAUUUUAUUGUUCCCAAAAUACCUAAUCCUUUUUGGCGUGAUGUCUAUGAAGCAUGGUCAAACUUACAAUAGCUACAAGAACACGAUAUGACAGAUACACCAGAACAAUUUAUAUGGGCAAAUGACAAUAAAACUAUUGCUAAGAAACCUAUAAUAUAUAGACACUAUUUAAAUGUUAAAUUCAUCAAUGAUUUACUCAAGUGUAACGGUACUUUUUUAAAGAUUAAUUUACAACUGAAUACAACGUAAAGACAAUCUUUUUGGAAUAAGCAAGACUUAUCAAUGCAAUUAAAUCGUUCAUCCAUCGCAAUAAAUUAAAACUAAACAAAGUAGAACAACCAUUUAUUCCAUAUAAUUUAAUUAUCUUGUAUACGGGAAAUAAGGGAAGUAAAAUAUUCUAUACUACACCAUCUAAAUUAUAUACUUCGGAAGGCAAAUUACGUAAUCAAAUAAAGUGGGAACGAGAUAUAAAUGAAAUUAUACCAGAAGACCAGUGAAAAAUGUAUAACCACAUACCUUUCAGAGCAACACUUAAAACACAACUUCGAAGGCUACAAUUUAUAAUUAUCCAGAGAAUUCUGACAACAAAUAAAGACCUAUUGAACUAUAAUAUUAUAUCACAUUCAUUGUGUUCUUUCUGUGAUAAGGAAUCAGAAACCAUUAUUCAUAUGUUAUAUGAGUGCAAACAUAUAUUGCUUGGAUAGACAUUCUAACUGUGACAUGAUUAGAACUGAACGUAAAACGCAUUUUUGGGAUAUAACCAGAGAAGAAAUGACGUCUUAAAUCUAAUUUUAAUGUCCACAAAACAAGUCAUCUAUGCAAACAGAUGUUUAAAAUCUAUCCCUACCAUAAACGGACUAAAGCGUCAUCUAAAUAUCUUAUAUCAGAUAGAUAAAUGUGCAGCAUAUUAAAGAUUUUUAGUCUUUUUGGUCUUCAUGCCAUAACCUCUUCAUAUGAUAAAUUUAAAUUACUCUUCAAUCCUUGGUGUCCAUGUAAAAACCCCUUCACCUUAAAGACAUUACCUAAUGGUUGUUGUUUUUCAUUCGACGUUCGCCAAAUGUACAAAUGAAAUAUAUUAUAUACAAUAUUAUAUUAUAUGUAUAUGUGUCCCAAUUGUUCACUUGAUUGUGUCUAUAAUCAUGUUAUACCCUGUACCUUUCAAAAAGUAAUAAAGUGAUAAAAAUCCAAUUUCCGCUUAGGAAUCUACUAAACUAUCAGGAUUUGUGUGUACAUGUAUAUAUGUGGAUGGACGUUCAUAGUGCCAGUGAGCACCUGUUGAUGGAUACCAGGCGCCUAAGUAAUCCAUCAUUAUUAAGUUGCAAAAACAAAUUCUGUAACAAAAAUCUCAAUCCCCUUCACAACACAACACCCUCCUGAACACAAAACCCCAACAGAGCAUUAUUUGGACAGCAUUGUGACAAAUUCGGUCUUUCGACCACACUGAAAGCAUAUAGAAAAUGUAACUCUAUUUUUCUAUAAGUAGUGACCGUUUGCAAAGUGAAUGAAAUUACCUUUGUUUGCUCGUUGAUACAUUUUACCUCUGUCAAGGACUGUUCGUUUGUAUUCUUCAUAGUCAUUACCUCCAAUCAUACUAAAAUCCGACCAAUGUAUAUAUGGUAUUAUCCUGUAUCUACUUUUAUAUUAGUCAAAGUUCCACUAUUAUAACGAGCAAAUACUAAUUAUACUGAUGGUUUGUUCUCUCCUAUUUUUCAUGAAUAAACACUGUUUGCUGUU
This is a long non-coding RNA of Haliotis rubra (blacklip abalone), 2778 nucleotides long. RefSeq lists it as uncharacterized. The record is from RefSeq and is a predicted model, not a curated record. The transcript has 2 exons. NCBI's taxonomy places the organism in Eukaryota, Metazoa, Mollusca, Gastropoda, Lepetellida, Haliotidae.